This 408-nucleotide ribosomal RNA is filed under the name Hansenula anomala. RNAcentral describes it as "Wickerhamomyces anomalus partial large subunit ribosomal RNA". It matches the Rfam family "Eukaryotic large subunit ribosomal RNA", at positions 118 to 523 of the family's 3401-position model. The record is from RNAcentral. Lineage: Eukaryota; Fungi; Ascomycota; Saccharomycetes; Phaffomycetales; Wickerhamomycetaceae.
AAAUCUAGCACCUUCGGUGUUCGAGUUGUAAUUUGAAGAUGGUAACCUUGGGUUUGGCUCUUGUCUAUGUUCCUUGGAACAGGACGUCAUAGAGGGUGAGAAUCCCGUCUGAUGAGAAGCCCAUUCCUAUGUAAGGUACUAUCGAAGAGUCGAGUUGUUUGGGAAUGCAGCUCUAAGUGGGUGGUAAAUUCCAUCUAAAGCUAAAUAUUGGCGAGAGACCGAUAGCGAACAAGUACAGUGAUGGAAAGAUGAAAAGAACUUUGAAAAGAGAGUGAAAAAGUACGUGAAAUUGUUGAAAGGGAAGGGCAUUAGAUCAGACUUGGUGUUUUACGAUUAUCUUCUCUUCUUGAGUUGUGCACUCGUAUUUCACUGGGCCAGCAUCGAUUCGGAUGGUAAGAUAAUGGCAGU